Molecule: long non-coding RNA, 898 nt
Filed under: Gallus gallus (chicken)
Lineage: Eukaryota; Metazoa; Chordata; Aves; Galliformes; Phasianidae
Source: RNAcentral
UGUUAUCGCAUACGGAGGGGAAGAAGGAAUGUCAGAUCCACAAGAAGCAACCAUAGAAGAGGGACAACUUAGCACUGAAUGUUCUGAGGAUGAGAAAGCAAUCUGUUUGGAAGCGAAUCAUAAGUAAAAAAAAGCUUACAGGAAGAGUCAUUUAUUAUUUAGCUGUGUUUAAAGUCACUCAUCUCUGGAGAUACAUGGAAGAGGAUGCUGUUUGAUACAGGAGGACUGCGGUGACUCUUGCUCCCCUGCAGCCUGUCAUGUGCCCUGGCUCUGCUGUCCCAACUCUGGGUGGCACACAACGACUGUGAUUUAAGAGAGCAGCAGAAGAGAAAGGUGUUUCUGACAACCUUUUUAGAAAAAUUACCCACGACUCUUUGUGAAAUUCAGAUUACAGAGGGCAGCAUCUGCUGAAUUAUUUAGAUUUGUACAUUCAGGUACUACAAUCUUAUAAUCAGAAGAGAGAGUUACUUGUGAAGGACAAUAAAGUAAUAAACAAAAUGUUCUGGAUAAAUAACUAACCAACAUGAUGAGAUUUCAGCCUUGGAGAGCUAUCGAGCUAAUUCUUGCCCAUUUUACUCAUUUGAGUAGUUUCAUUAAGAGCAAACUGCUUCUUAGUAAAUUGCUAGUUAUAAUAAAAACAAUUAAGCUUGUUGUUUUAGUUCUUCUUGUUCCACAUUUUUAUAAUUCUAGUCAUAACCAUUAAAACUUGUACUUUCAUAAUCACUCUGCUAAACCGCUCAGCUUCCUCGCUCUGUAGGACUCUUUUAGCACAUGCAAAAUAGUUAGAACACGAGUAAAUACAUCCAGAACAGGUGCACAAGAGGGACGAUGCACCUGUCUGCUCACUCUGCCCACAAGAGGUAUGUGGUGCUGCAGAGCUAUGAGAUCCAGAACCCGG